Long non-coding RNA from Pleuronectes platessa (European plaice), 475 nucleotides. RefSeq lists it as uncharacterized. The record is from RefSeq and is a predicted model, not a curated record. The transcript is spliced from 4 exons. Lineage: Eukaryota; Metazoa; Chordata; Actinopteri; Pleuronectiformes; Pleuronectidae.
AAGUGUUUCCAGGGGACACCUAAAAGUGAUAGACACGCCCGGAAGGUGUUGCUGCUGCAGGUAUUUGGAGUUUCUAAAGCCGGUGUCCGUCUACUACGUGAGAGUUAACUAAACUAUAAAAAUGUUUUGCCCUUUUUGUGGCUUAUUAUUGGACUCAAUCCAGAGCCCAAGAUAUUGCUGCUCCUGUGGGCGAGAUGUUAGUUUCAUCCACGCUUCUACAGCAUCAACAAGUGCAGUGACUGUUGCUGGUACCAGUCAACAAAAGGCAUGUGCUAACCAGUUCAUGAGGUACAGGGCACAGAAAGAAAACGAGAGAAAGACGUUUUCUAAAGGCCCAAAGAAAGCACCAAUAGCAGUCAAGAUUUCGGUUGGGGUAAUGAACCAGACAAAACAUGGCCUCAAGCCGGUAAGAGGGAAAACACUUCCCCUAAAUGUGGAACCUCAGUUGACGGCGGAGCAACUUUUGGCGGUUGCC